Molecule: ribosomal RNA, 119 nt
Filed under: Carassius auratus (goldfish)
Lineage: Eukaryota; Metazoa; Chordata; Actinopteri; Cypriniformes; Cyprinidae
Source: RNAcentral
GCUUAGGGCCAUACCAGCCUGGCUAUGCCUGAUCUCAUUUGAUCUCGGAAGCUAAGCAGGUUUGGGCCUGGUUAGUACUUGGAUGCGAGACUGCCUGGGAAUACCAGGUGCAGUAAGCU